CGGAGGAUCCAAGCGUUAUCCGGAAUCAUUGGGUUUAAAGGGUCCGUAGGCGGUUUAGUAAGUCAGUGGUGAAAGCCCAUCGCUCAACGGUGGAACGGCCAUUGAUACUGCUAAACUUGAAUUAUAAGGAAGUAACUAGAAUAUGUAGUGUAGCGGUGAAAUGCUUAGAUAUUACAUGGAAUACCAAUUGCGAAGGCAGGUUACUACUUAUGGAUUGACGCUGAUGGACGAAAGCGUGGGGAGCGAACAGGAUUAGAUACCCUGGUAGUCCACGCCGUAAACGAUGGAUACUAGCUGUUCGGAGCAAUCUGAGUGGCUAAGCGAAAGUGAUAGGUAUCCCACCUGGGGAGUACGUUCGCAAGAAUG
Molecule: ribosomal RNA, 366 nt
Filed under: uncultured organism
Description: bacterial SSU rRNA
Rfam family: Bacterial small subunit ribosomal RNA
Source: RNAcentral